GAGUUUUAUAACACCAUAGGACUGGCCGUCCCAUAUGAAAAGAUUAUAUUAGAAUUGAAUGAAGCUUUGUUUAUAUAUUGAUAAUGACAGUAUAUAUAUCGUGUCUUGACUAAUUGCGUGCCAGCAGUCGCGGUAGUACGUAAGAGACUAGUGUUAUUCAUCUUAAUUAGGUUUAAAGGGUACCCAGACGGUCAAUAUAGCUUAUAAAAUGUUAGUACUUGACUAGAGUUUUAUGUAAGAGGGCAGUACUUGAGGAGGAGAGAUGAAAUUUCGUGAUACCAAAGGGACUCUGUAAAGGCGAAGGCAGCCCUCUAUGUAAAAACUGACGUUGAAGGACGAAGGCACAGAGAACAAACAGGAUUAGAUACCCAAGUAGUCUUUGCAGUAAAUGAUGAAUGCCAUAGGUUAGAUGGGUGGGUUAGUCUAGUUGAGUUAGUUUAGCAAAGUAAUGAUCUAGACGAGCCCACCAUAUAUUUGGUCUAUAAAUGAAAGGUAAAGCAUUUCACCUCAAGAGUA
RNAcentral lists this ribosomal RNA (516 nucleotides) under Fusarium udum. Its description in RNAcentral is "SSU rRNA". It matches the Rfam family "Bacterial small subunit ribosomal RNA", at positions 359 to 882 of the family's 1533-position model. The record is from RNAcentral. Lineage: Eukaryota; Fungi; Ascomycota; Sordariomycetes; Hypocreales; Nectriaceae.